UUCAUUCCACCUGACAAAGCUGAUAAGCAGCGGAUAAGAUAUGGCCGACCAAUCACACUCCACCUUUAACCUAUGUCAUCUAUGUCAACUGACAAACACAAAAUUUUCACCAAUCAGGCUGCAGGUUAUUUAUUGCCUGAUUGUAGUGUUGAGGGUGUUGAGUAUUCGUGCAGGGGCUGGGCCGGUAGCAGGCAGAGGAGAAAACCUUUAGUUUUUCAUUUAUAUGUAUUGAUCUAUUUCUUUUUAGGUAUGGUGUUCUCAACGUCUUAAAACUAAAAUAUCCCCUCUAGUACAUGCUAAAAUUACUUUCAAUUUAAUGACUAAACAGCAGCCCAAUUUUUGGAUCAAUUUAAUGAAAAUUAGUGAAUUCCAAUAAUAAGUAGAUGCCGCUUACCAAUCUCUGCUUCAAGAAUUAGUUUUGAAUCAUCGUUGAAAAUGUUGACAAGUUAGCUUAGGAAAGUAAAAUUAUUCAGCAGACAAUCUUCAUCAGCAAACUCGGAAGUCGUCGAGUUUUCCUAGUCUCAAUAUUUCUAUAUGAUGUCCGAUUGCGAUUGCAUCUGUAAAAAAAUGGGCAUUCGUCCUGUAAUAGACUCCUUGGGUUUUUCUGACUAGCCAGUGAAGAGUCUCAUAAAUUAGAACCAUGUGAUCGCUCUUCAAAAGUAAAUAAGAAGAAGGAGUAGCCCAAUGAAUCAUCUUUUAAACUGUCUUUUUUUUUGCUUGUCUAGGACAAUCGUCCCAUGGAGGAAGUCUCGAACCAUCCUUCACUGGAGGGUCAAGCGUCUGUUACUAGAAAACCCAGAUCAAGGUAAUCUAUGAAAGUGCAACCUAAGAUGGAUGACGGUCAAGCUCAAGCAAGUUACGGCGCUGGUUCGUCCGAAGAUAUUGGAACCACAACGGCGUACCUGUGGGAAAAUAACGAAUCUGUUGUAUCAUGGUUGAUGGUCAGUUAUCUCCAGAUGGCUCAAUCUCACCAAACUCUAUUGUUGCCAACAAUAUCAGAUGUGUUCAGAGAGAUGCACUUAUCCACCAAAUUAAAACAUCAAUGGAGGAGUCACCAGAUGUUGCUCAAGAUGCAGUCGUUGAAAAUGUUCCAGACUUGUCUGCUAGUGAAAGAUCUGAAGUUCUGAGAAAAUUAUCGCAUUUGGAAACGAUUAGUAAACCUGAACCUCAAAGUUGAGCAGAAUCUGUAGUCUGAAAUAAGGGUUACAAUUGUACAAAAUAUUUAUUUUUAAUUUAUCAGUUUAGUUAUCAAGUUUUCUGUGUAAAUGUUUACACAACUGAUUAUUGUCAAUGGAAAAGACAUCAAUGAUUUCUGCAUCCACGGGGAAUAAUGUAAUUAUUUCCUGUCCUGUAGAAAAAGUCUUGCGAUAGCUGUUUCUGUUUUUGGUCUAAAAAAGAAAUUUUUAGAGAAUGAAGAAACGACAGCUCUUUUUCAGUAAGUAAAAAUAUAAAUGCAAGUGAGAGAAAAAAUGUAUUUUUUGAAAUCCCAAUGGUUAUUUUUAAUAGAACUGAGAUUUUCAUAAUGAUUAUUGUGAUCAUCAUCAACAGUUUUGGUUUGCUCUGUUGUUACUUUUGGUGAAACCUUCCAAUUUUUUUUGUUGCAAUUUUAUUUUUCAAGUUUUUUCUUGUUAUCACUUUGAACAAAUUAAUGUUAUUUAUUUUAUACAAAAUGGAAAUAAAAUCUUAAGAUUUACACGUCAAUGUAAAAUUAUAUCUUUUUUGUCUUUGAAAAUUUUGGAAUUCUCCUUUUACCAGCAAGUGGUAGCAAAGGCGCUGCAAAGCAAGUUUACAAAACUCAUCGUAUCUCGCGAUCUAAUCCAGGAAAGGAGGACACAGCAUAGUCUCCUCAUUACCUCAUUCACUUAUGACCCUGAGCAUGAGUGUUAUUUCGAUGAGAGCACUAUGAAAAGAGGGGCCAGUAGUAGAUCUUUUCAUCAUGGUAUCAACUUGUCGUGUGUCCCUCCUUUCCUGAAAAACACCAACAUUUAGAAUCUGACUGUAAAUGAAAUGUUUAAUGAAGGGACUCAAGGGACUGUUGUUUAAUAUGUUUUUCCUGGUAUUUUAUCCUUAAAUACCAAUUGAUCCAUUUUCAUGGUGUUGAAAAAUCGAGAGCACUAAAAUUUCUAGUAAAAUAAAUGAUAAAAAUUUCGAUUAUAGGAAAGUAAUCAGGCAUUUAUUAAUCAACUAACAUGAAGACAGAGAGAAAAGAAGUCUAACCACUAGAUUCUGAAAAAUUACAAAUUAACCUUUGAAUAUUAAAACAAAAAAUUUGAAAAAUGAAAAAAAUUAAAAAUAAAAUAAAGACUCUACACUACAAUUACACAUGUUUGACCAACUGAGCUGUAAAAUUAAAAUCUUCAACAUCGUAAUGAUAAAAGUUAAUUAGAACAUCAGUAUUUCAUAAAGCACAUUUCAUAAAAGGGCACAAUCUAACUUUAAUAUUCUCAGUUGCCAAUGAGCAUUGUUAAAAAAUUGUUGGAAGUAUGGACAUGGGUUCAUGAAUGAUGAUGGAUUUGAACAUGGUGGAAGCUCAAGUUUAUCGCAGUUUUAAGUUUUUAAUUUGAAAAUUACGAGUGUUAACGGUCCCAAGUUCACAUCAGUGCUUUCUUUGAAUACAUGGAAGGAUUUGACUUGCCUGAGGUGAGGCUAUUGCACAUUUUGCAUGAGCUUUUUGAACAAGUCUGAUAUUACUUUGCAAAGAUUUAUUUAACAAAGGCUUUUACUAGUGUCCUUAGUAAAUAAAUAUAUAUAUAUAUUUUUUGCAUUCAAUAGGUAAGUUUAACAGCCUAAGUUUUUAGAAGAUCCUAUAAGAGAGUUGAACAGUUAUUCCACUGCAGAUCAAAUUUGCUCCCGCCAGGUGACAAUAUUAGUUGAGCUACUUUAACACGUCAACUGCCAUGGUUUUGCCAUCAAAAGUUAAGAGGUGCAAAAACUUGCAAGUAUGACAGAUAGCGCUCCAGAGCAGCGGUCAUUCUUUGAAUGUGGUGGUGUAAUUUGAAGUUUAGAUAUGCGAUGGUAGAGAGCAGAAAUGAUUUAAGAAUGGCUUCCAUAGGAGCCAAUCCCCUAGAGACUGGCGUGGCAGUUAAAAAAUCAGAUUCGUAGAGGCUGAUUUUUGUUCUGAAAGAAUACUUCAGAACAAUAUUUACAUUUUUUUACGGUCAAAGCAACUAAAAAUAAAUGCAAAAUAUGACAGAUAUUAGGCUCUACUGUACCAAUCGAUGAUGAAACUUUUUGCCAUCAUUAAACUUCAACUUCCGGCCAUUUAGAUCUUGUAUUUUGAAUGAUCUUUUAAAGAACUGCCUUUCCUCCAGGAGAGAGAAAAGUUAAAAUUAAAAAAUUAUAAGACAAACAAGUCUGAUAUGAGUGAUUGUCGGCAGGAAAAAGGACUUUGGUGUCGAAAAAAACUUAAAAUUAAAAUAUUAGUGUCAGGCUCAGAAGAAUGAUCUGUGAGGCUGAAGUUAUAAGCGUUUUAAGUUUCUGGUUAAAAAAACUUGCUUUCGAGAAAAAACCAUUCAAGGUUUUAUCUCCUACUUUCAGGUCUCACCACGCCUAAUUCAAUGAAGUAUAUGCCCUCUAUUGGCACAAAAAUGAAAAGAAAUCACUAAUAACAUGUGCUUUGCAAUAUUCAGGACCUUUUCGAAAUUUUUAUUUCUCGGCUCAGCAAAAAACAGCUUGAGAUAUACAUUAUUUAAUGUACAUACUAGGGUUUUUUUUCCUGUGGCCUGUCACAUAUAAUAAAUAAUGCCUGGAUUCACCUUGAAGAAAGAUGAAUGAUCAAAGUAAGUUUUCUAUCACAAUGUAAGUCACAAUGCCCCCGACUUUAUAAUUCAUUGGUUAGAAAAAAAAAAAAAAAUGCAGAUACAAGCAGUAGAAAGAUUGAUGCGAAAGUUGGACAAAAGUGGGAAGUAGUUUAAAAUAGUACUGAAAUGAUAGAAAUAUUCUGUAUGAAAUACGAAGAAAAAAUUGUUGACUGUACCGGCAUUAAUCACAACACAAUGGGUUUCCUAGAGGUUAUUUCCUUUAAAGGCUCUUUAACUAAACAAUAGGUAGAUUCAUUACUUUCAUGCCAUUAACAUGGAACUCCUUCCUCUCCAUAACUAACAGAUUUUGUUACCGAAUUUGGUAAAAGGUCCACAUUUAUAUUUCCGGACCAGAAGAGUUCUGCAUGAAACCUUUCUGCAGAGAAGAGAGACAUCUUGUAGGAAAAAUUCUAUAGUUACUGUGUUUUUAAGUAUCCUCUUGUAAUGAUAAAAACUCUCUGAUUUUAAAGGAAUUAGUACCUGCAAAAUGGUACAACGCUAUUUCUAGGUUGUUUGUUUUUCUUCACAUGUUUUUGUCUUUUCAUUGACAGUUUAGUAUCAUGUAGUAGAGCUCUUAAAAGAUUGUUUUUGACUCAUAGCAGAAAAAAUGUCUCUCUACUUAAAAAAAAAAAAAAAAUCCUAUAAGUGCUGUUUAUAAAAUGGUCAUGCCAUCGGAAAUAUUUGUGAGUACAGCAUUUGAAUAAAUUUCGGCCUUGCCAGGAUGGCAGGCACUGAUUCAAGGUGGGAGCAUUUUUAUUUUGAAGGGUUCUUCUCUUGCAGAAGAUUUAAAUUUUUUUUCAUGAUUUUUCCGAACAUUUCAUUGUUUUUUAUUGAAUCUUCUGUUGGAUGGAGAGUAUUUUUCAGAGGUGCACACUACACAAACCUACUUUGUCUAUCAACAAAUUUUUGAAAUAUUAGAGAGAGAUUUUACCAGGGGCAAAAAAAUUAUCUUGAAAUCGAGUUGAGGCUUUGUCAAUUUUUAGGCAUAGCACCAGAAAAAAUUUAAAGUUACAAACAUGGCCCAAAUUCUAAAAAAGAAAAAAAAUCAUUAAAAAAGUAAAAUUACAUCGAUAUACCUAAUUUGUUGAUUCAUCCAAUUUCAGCCGAUUACAAUUUUAAAAUUAAAGUCUUCGGUUUGGUCGAUAAUGAUCAUUGAAUGGGGUUGUAUAAACAGGUAUACAGAAAGCACUGUACAAUUAUUUUAAGAAGUGUACAACUCGUCGUGGACGAAAUUCACAGUUAAAAUUAAAUUGACAGGGUUUCUUUAAU
RNAcentral lists this long non-coding RNA (5069 nucleotides) under Bemisia tabaci. Its description in RNAcentral is "lncRNA ENSSWEETPG005391". The record is from RNAcentral. Lineage: Eukaryota; Metazoa; Arthropoda; Insecta; Hemiptera; Aleyrodidae.